UUGUGUUGGGAGGGUACGGACAAUCUAUAGCCAUUCUUCAUUAUCACCCUGUCCAUAACAUUAGAGAUGGGGCAAUUAACAAAAAGUACCUGAAUGAGGCUCCAUCCCUCCAUUUUAAGCCCCAAUAUGCUUGCCAUCUUUUAGUUACCCUCAUAUAAUGUGAGCCCAUUGACUCAGUCUACUCUUUUGUAUCCUAGAAUAUCAAGCUGCCCAACAGCAGGGAAGAUGAAGAACCUAAGCAUCAUGGGAAAUAUGGAAUUCGUGGUUUCAUCUGAUUGAUGGGAGGAUAAGGUGGAGAGACAGAGAAAGAAAGAAAAGCGGGGAGAACUGGAAAUGAAGACAGAAGAGGAAAAAGGACUAAGACAGAGACAAAUGUAGUCUUGUGAACAAAAAGCAUGGUGCCAAGGGCAAUUGAUUCUUCACACUUGACUUUCAAGAAUCCUGAUUCCUGGGAAUUGGGGCCUAGGGGAAGAAGGAGAGGUGGAAUGGGGUUUUAUAGCAAGCAGAUACUUUGGGGAAGGAGUCCAGAAGAAGGCUUGAAACCAUCCUCUCACCUCUAACAUUCAAAGAUUGCAACUCUCUCCACAACUUCAAAGAUGGUUUCUGGCUGAAAAUAUCCAUUGCC
Molecule: long non-coding RNA, 625 nt
Filed under: Monodelphis domestica (gray short-tailed opossum)
Lineage: Eukaryota; Metazoa; Chordata; Mammalia; Didelphimorphia; Didelphidae
Description: lncRNA (ENSMODG00000050631.1)
Source: RNAcentral